CUGUCUCUUUAGAACAGCUUAAGUCAGGAUAAAUAGGCUUCUGUCUUUACGAGAUUUAAGUGGCUAAAGCUCUGAGAUUUCCAGUGAAGCUUUCCCUCCAAGUAUACUCCUCGCACUGGGAGACAGUGAAUGAGCACCCAGGGGACUCAGGGUCAUAAGACAAAAAGCCCACACAAGCCAGAUCUUUAAGUCCUCAUUUUUAAAUCUCUAAAAUACAUUGAGAAUAUUGCAUGCUAGUCUAAAAUAUGUCUUGAUUUUAGUACAAGAGUCAAAUUUGCUUUCUUUACAUUUUUGAGCACAAUUGACUGUUGGAAACUAUGCCAUGUUUAUUCCUCCCAUUUGAGAAGCAGAAUCCUAAGAUACCAGGUGGAGGGAGUCUGGACCCUGAGAGCUGAAGAUGGAACAGGCUUCAUUUUUCUUCUGCCCAUUUUUCUUCAAAGUGAUUUUUUGAUGUAUGUCUAAACCAAUAGCUAUUCUCCUGUCCCCAGAAUCUUCCUGUCCUUUAGUGCUGGUGUGUGCUGCCUUUUUAUAUCUUAUAAUCACGGAGCACUGAGACGUGGAUGCUGCAAGUAGCCUUACAGAAUCCAGUCAUUUUAUAGAUAAAGAAACUGAGGCCUAGAGAAGGGAAGCUCUUGCUCAAGGUUUCUUCACUAGCCACAGCAGACAGAAAUGAUUAACACUGUCUAGGCCAGUGCUGUUAACAGGUAACAGGUGGCCUGAUAAACAGCUGAUCUAGUAGAUGCUUUUUCUGUUUGGCUUCAGCCUUAUUCCUCAUUCCUUCUCUUUUUACACCUGCUUUACUCUACCCAUGUACUUGCUAUUCCCCAAACAUAGGAAGCCCUUUCUCAAAUUAGUGCUCUAGUGCCUUUCACUCUGCCUUGCAGUGGAAACCAGGGUAGCAGCCCCCCAGAGCCAAGGGUUGGCCUCACUUUUAGGAAGUACUCAGUGAGUGUGCGUUGCAUGAGUGGACUGCACAUUCUACCUCCAUCUGGGACUAAUGAAACUCUACUCUUCUUUUGGGCCCAGUCAAAAUGCAGCAUCUUCUUUAACACCUAUUCCCAAUCACCCCAAUUAGAAUCCAGCAAAUGACAUUCAACGGAAUGUUGUCUCCAUGAUAUGUUGAUAAAUUUAGGUAGUCAAACAUGCUUGAGAAUGAUUGAGUUGAUCAGCACUAAUAAGACUUUACACUGCAAUAUAUGUUAAUGCCUUUAGUACAUUAAUUUAUACUGUCAGUCUUUAUAAAGCGGAGGGCAGUAACAGCAUUUUCCAGAAUUAUUAGAUCAUUUGGCCCUGGCACCCUUUCUUCAGGCAGUGUAUCUCUUGAAACUGUUGUCCUAAGGAAUAUGCCUAGGGGAUCGUGAGUUUACUUUCCACAUGACAUUCACUGUGUAGAGGUGGCAGAUGAGUCGUCUGUGCCUUUAUGCUCCUGCUGGACCAUCGACUCCUUCAGGGCAAGGACUAGUUCUUAAGGAUACUUUUAAAAUGUUGAGUGAAUUAAUGCUUUAGAAGUAAGAGUUCUACAUUAGCCUUCAGUGAUCUUGUGGGGAGAAGGGAUGGGGGUAGUAACUUGAGAGAUGAGAUGAAGAGGAGCAGGAGGAGAUGGCAUCUGUGCUGGGGGUCAAGGGACGUUGAGUGGUCUCAGCCACCGUCUGUCUUCAUCCUAUAUUUUCCAUAUCCAUGUGAGAGCAUGCUGGACAUGAGUUUCCCUCACCCCUUGACCUCUUUGGAGUAGACAUAUUGUCACAAUCAGUUUCAAACCCAUCUCUGGUCUGAGGUGAGAAUACAGAGCAUUUACUUACCUACCCCCUGCCCAACUUUGAUUUGACUGACUGUUUUGCUAGAAGGCUUGUGAGCUAGGCAGCCUUCUUCCUUUCCAUUUCUAGUAAAAACACCACUCGGUGUUUUUACACUGCCGGGCUUGUGGACAAGAAUCUUGAUUUCAUUCCAUGGUCAUCCUGUGGGACAUUGGAGGAAACCAUGUGGCCUUGUCCUUGAUGUGAGUAGGUAGAGUUUCUACCUUCCAGAGAAAUACCACUUAAAGCAAUGGCUGGCCUUCUGGAUGAUGGAAUGAUAAUACCAGUGGGAAAUAAUGAUCAAGUAUUGACUGUGUGCUACAGCACUUUAUGUACGUAAAUGCUUUUGCUUGUUUUUAUUGUGUGACUGCUGGCAAACCACUUAACCCUCUGUGUACCACUGCUCCCAAAUGUAAGUGAUCUCCUAAAGUCCUUUUGAACUAUGAAUUUCUAUGGUUAGGCUGUGUGCAAUGGCUCACACCUGUAGUCCUAGCACUUUGGGAGGCCAAGGCUGGAGGAUUUCUUGAGCCCAGAAGUUUGAGACCAGCCUAGGCAACAUAGUGAAACCCCGUCUCUACAAAAACAAAACAAAACAAAAAACAAAAAAGUCAGGCAUGGUGGUGUGCACCUGUAGUUCCAGAUAUUCAGGAGGCUGAGGCAGAAGGAUCCCUUGAGCUCAAGGGGUUUAAGGCUGCAGUAAGCCAUGAUUGCACCACUGUACUCUAGCCGCCUAGGUGAUAGAGGAGGCCCUGUCUCAACAAAAAAAAAAAAAAAAAAAGAAAAGAAAAGAAAAUCCAUGGUUGUCCUUCUUCCUAUUAGCAGGGAAGGGGCAGAAGAACACCUCUUGCCACUAAUUGGCAGCCUGGGGGUGAUAUUUGUCAUAGGUGAGGGAUUUUCAAACAUUGGUGAGAAUGUGUCCACCCUACACAGUAGCUGUUCUCCUAGGCUUGAAAUGUUGUAGUUGAGAAAAGCACUUGACUCUCCCUCAUCAGAGUUUUUCACUGAAGACAGCUUGAUCUGUAAUUUCAUGGAAAACUUGCCAAUAAUUCUCAACAAGAGGUCAUAUCCCCUGAAUCCAUUGCUAAGGGGGUGUUUUUAAAUGUUCAUAGUUGUUUUGGUUGGUCACUAUAACUGGGAUAUGCCUUUGACAUUUAGUGUCCAGAUUCUAGGGGGUGCUAUUAAAUGUUGUUCAAUAGGCAAAAAAGACUCAUCAUAAAGAAAUGUCCUGCCUGAAAUGCCAAGUAGAACCUCUCUUAAAAAACCUUCUUCAAGCAGUUUAGUGGGCAAACUCUCUGGGGACCAUAUGCUCAUCCUAAACACAGAAGUCGUAAGAUUUAGCAGUUCUCCUUUGGUAACAUGAUCAUCUGUGACUUCCCAGCACCCCUGUGAGCCCCUGGCAGCUUGGGAGCCCUUCCUGCAUGGUGCUGUGACCUUGUGCAUUUGGAAGGGGUCUCUUCCGUGUUGGGCACUCUGCUCACUUUUCUUCUCUAUUUUGUUUCACUUUUCAUCUCUUCAUCUGCCACCAGAUCACACAAUGUAUCUUAGGAAUUUCAGAGCAUUUGCCAAGAUUUCAAAGUUCCUUGGAAAGACCUGGCUUGGAAUAUUAUGUGGAAACCUCAAAGAUGAACUCUUGCAAGGAAGGAUACAUGUGUCUUUACAUUCUUUGAGUCUCUGGAUGGAAUUCCUUCUCCACCUCCAGCAUUCCCAUGCUCUUUUUCCAUUUUCAUGGGAAGCUUUUAUUUUUAAGUUGGCUUUGGCCUUUCCCACGCUAUUUCUUUCCCUCCUUUGCUUUGAAGCUUCAGAGCUAGGAAUUCAGAUCUCCUGGUACAGAGAGUGAAUCCCAGGUGUGUGGGGCUUCAGCCUUCGUUAGAUGGAUCCUGGACGGAGCACAGACAAGCAGUUUCUGACACCAAAGGCAAUAAGAAAAGGGAAAGAAUCUUUGAUGGAGGUUGUUUGGUAUGUGAGUUGGAGAGAAUCUUUGAUGGAGGUUGUUUGGUAUGUGAGUUGGAGGGCCGUGCCAAGUGUCAGAAGGAAGUAGAAGUGGGUAGGAAGGAAAUGGAAUCAUUGAGCAUUUCACGAUAGACUUUUUCUUCUCUCUUUUGGUCAUAGAAUGGACAGAGAAGAACAAAGUAGGCCACAGGUUCAAGACAAGAUCACUUUCCAAAGAGCAUUUUCUCGUGUAUUUCUGUUUCUCUUUCAUAGUGUGGAUCAGAAAGUGACCCUUUACAAAUGAACCACUGAGCCCCUCAGUACUUAGCUCACACGUCAUACCUUAAUUCCUUAGUACUUAGCCUUUGCCAUCUUGAAUAAGAUGGAGUGAAGUGAAGCUCAAACAAGUGACAGAAACCUAGUCCUUGCUCUCAAGGAGGCUUUAGCCUGGUCUGGGGUACAAGAUUUCCUCAUCUUCCUCUUGAAAGGUGGCAGGACAACUCCACGCUGGAGUGUUUGCACCAGCAGAUAGGUGCUGUGGGAGUGUGGUGCCACAUUCUUUAUAGCCACAGGCUUUCAUGGACUUCCCCUGGGUUCCUUCCUAUUGGUUGGUGGACCAUAGUGGCAGUGAAUAUGCAAAGUCAUUCACAUUAAUCAUUUGAUUUGUAUGUAUGUAGAAUUAGAUGUGUAAUCAUUUAAUGGAUAUAUGUGUGUCUGAGUGUACACCACACACACAUGCACAUAUAGAUUUUUAAAUUUAGCAAAGAUAUUUUAGUUACUUUUCCUUCAAGGAACACUUGUAUUUUCUGCCCUGGUGCUGCUGUUGCUGUUGCUGCUGCUGCCUUUUCAUGACAGUUGUUCUUUUUACCUGUUGCCAUAACCAGUUUGUGAAUCAUUCUGGAUGUCUUCCCAGGCAGAUAUGAAUUGCAGCAGGCUAAAGUGAACCCUCUGCUCGGAGCAGAAAUACCACCUCCCAGGGCUCCAGCAGCAAAGCUCUGCACACAUGAAAAACUGUCCAAACCCACUCAACCACAAUUCAGGUGGGAAUAAGAAGCUGGAGCUGCUUAUGAAGUCAGACAACUCUUGAUAAUAGCUUUGAUUUUUGUUUUCUUUUGAUUAUAAAAUUCUUGUCAGAAUGUUUUAAAAAAAGAAGUGAGACAUAGAAAUCCCAACUAGAUGACUGUGGCAGAGGGAACACCAAGACGCCCUCACUGCCACCAUUCCCUCCUAUUUCUGUUCACGCUGAGCAUUUGCUGUCUAAUGUGCCCACUCUGCUGGGAGCAAAAGCAGCAAUGCUGGUUCCGUGUCUUGGCAGCUAGCUACUGUAUGAUGUCAGUUUUACUUCUGGAGGCUUCUGAGGUCUCCUGCCCCUUGUUUCACAGGAAAGAUGGCUUUGGCUUUUGUUGCCUCAGUAAAGGGCUGGAUUAAGUCCUGAGGCCCUGACAGUGGUCGCCCCCUUUUAUUGAAGCCAUCCCCCUGAUUGUACGUUAGAUGAUCUGCCCAUGGCCAACUGGGCUUCUUGAUGUCUGAGCACUGAUGGGAUUGGUCUGUCACUUGGGCUGGACCCAGACCCUAAAACAGGUCUUAAAAGCCUUUCUCCAUUCCCCAGUGAAGGUGGGAACCAAGUGAUGGACCGUCACCAGCCUGGCACCCCUUGCUCAGCUGUUUGUAGUCAGGUGUCUUCUGUCCCCUGCCUCUCCCAGGGCUAUUGCUCUGCCAGUGACCUGACCUUUCCUGGCCCAGUCAAUUAAAAUCAUUUUUUCUGAGUCUUAGAAUUCCUGUCACCCCACCAUGAUAGGGACAUCUCAGUUACCUUCUUGGGAAGAACCUUCAGCUUCCUAAAUGUUUGCUAGAGUUGCUAUACGAAUACUACAGACGGGGUGUCCUAAACAACAGAAGCUUAUUUUUUCAGUUCUGGAAGUUAGUCUGAGAUCAAGGUAUCACCAACGCUGGUUUCUUCCGAGACCUCUCUCUCUGGUUUAUAGAUGGAUACUUUCUCCCUGUGUCUUCACCUGGUCUUCCCUUUGUCUAUAUCUGUAUUCUAAUCCCCUUUUCUUUCAAAGGACACCAGUCUGUUGGAGUGGGGCCCAUCCCCAAUUGACCUCCCUGUUACUUACUUCUUUAAGAAGGCCCUAUCUUGAAACACAGUCACAUUCUGAGGUUCUAGCAGUUAGAACUUCAAUACAUGAAUUUGAGAGUUUGGGGGAGAUAUAGUUCAGCCUGUAACACCAAGAUUUUACCCCCAAACGAAAAAGUUGUAUUGUGUUCUUCUCCCACUUGCAGUUACUGCCUGGCGCUAAGUGUCUGGAGGUGCUUUGGAGGUCCAGGGACAAUGGCUCGCUCCAAGCCUGGAAUAAAUGACCUCUGGGGUUGACAGGCACUGAGAGACUGCUGGACCCAGGGUUCCUAACCCUGCCCACCAAAGCCACUCUGCCCCAUCUCCCAGAAGGGAUCCUCAAAGCUGAGCUAUCCCAAGGCACACUUGUUUGCUAACUGAGGGUGUUUUCCUAAAUGCCAGUGGGGAAGAACACCAGUGCCGACAUGCUAGGCUAGACCCAGCCAUGCAGAGCGCAGAGGAGCUGCCCUUGCCUGCACCGGGGGAAUGUUUGGUGGGUGUUUUGAGCACUUACUACAUACCACAUACUGUUCUGGGUAUUUACUUUCUUAAAAAAAAAAAAAA
Macaca mulatta (Rhesus monkey) is the source of this 6402-nucleotide non-coding RNA. Lineage: Eukaryota; Metazoa; Chordata; Mammalia; Primates; Cercopithecidae. The record is from RefSeq and is a predicted model, not a curated record.